GAUGAACGCUGGCGGCGUGCCUAACACAUGCAAGUCGAGCGAGGGUUUGCUCAGUAUUGAGUAUUCUAAGACUAGAAUGUUCAAUUCUGAGCAAAACCAAGCGGCGGACGGGUGAGUAACGCGUGGGUAACCUGCCCUAUACACAUGGAUAACAUACUGAAAAGUUUACUAAUACAUGAUAAUAUAUAUUUGCGGCAUCGCAGAUAUAUCAAAGUGUUAGCGGUAUAGGAUGGACCCGCGUCUGAUUAGCUAGUUGGUGAGAUAACUGCCCACCAAGGCGACGAUCAGUAGCCGACCUGAGAGGGUGAUCGGCCACAUUGGAACUGAGACACGGUCCAAACUCCUACGGGAGGCAGCAGUGGGGAAUAUUGCACAAUGGGCGAAAGCCUGAUGCAGCAACGCCGCGUGAACGAUGAAGGUCUUCGGAUCGUAAAGUUCUGUUGCAGGGGAAGAUAAUGACGGUACCCUGUGAGGAAGCCCCGGCUAACUACGUGCCAGCAGCCGCGGUAAUACGUAGGGGGCUAGCGUUAUCCGGAUUUACUGGGCGUAAAGGGUGCGUAGGUGGUCCUUCAAGUCGGUGGUUAAAGGCUACGGCUCAACCGUAGUAAGCCGCCGAAACUGGAGGACUUGAGUGCAGGAGAGGAAAGUGGAAUUCCCAGUGUAGCGGUGAAAUGCGUAGAUAUUGGGAGGAACACCAGUAGCGAAGGCGGCUUUCUGGACUGCAACUGACACUGAGGCACGAAAACGUGGGUAGCAAACAGG
This 762-nucleotide ribosomal RNA is filed under the name uncultured Peptostreptococcus sp. RNAcentral's name for it is "bacterial SSU rRNA". It matches the Rfam family "Bacterial small subunit ribosomal RNA", at positions 28 to 776 of the family's 1533-position model. The record is from RNAcentral. Lineage: Bacteria; Bacillati; Bacillota; Clostridia; Peptostreptococcales; Peptostreptococcaceae.